Molecule: non-coding RNA, 58 nt
Filed under: Scrippsiella hangoei
Lineage: Eukaryota; Dinophyceae; Peridiniales; Peridiniaceae
Source: RNAcentral
GGAAAGUCCCCGUGCCUUGGUGCAGAGAGUGCCUUGGUGCAGAGAGUGUGAGUGGGAG